Molecule: ribosomal RNA, 924 nt
Filed under: Rhodotorula babjevae
Lineage: Eukaryota; Fungi; Basidiomycota; Microbotryomycetes; Sporidiobolales; Sporidiobolaceae
Description: eukaryotic LSU rRNA
Rfam family: Eukaryotic large subunit ribosomal RNA
Source: RNAcentral
UUAGAUCUCAAAUCAGUAGGACUACCCGCUGAACUUAAGCAUAUAAUAAGCGGAGGAAAAGAAACUAACAAGGUUCCCCUAAGUAGCGGCGAGCGAAGCGGGAAGAGCUCAAAUUUAUAAUCUGGCACCUUCGGUGUCCGAGUUGUAAUCUCUAGAAGUGUUUUCCGCGUUGGACCGCACACAAGUCUGUUGGAAUACAGCGGCAUAGUGGUGAAACCCCCGUAUAUGGUGCGGACGCCCAGCGCUUUGUGAUACACUUUCAAUGAGUCGAGUUGUUUGGGAAUGCAGCUCAAAUUGGGUGGUAAAUUCCAUCUAAAGCUAAAUAUUGGCGAGAGACCGAUAGCGAACAAGUACCGUGAGGGAAAGAUGAAAAGCACUUUUGGAAAGAGAGUUAACAGUACGUGAAAUUGUUGGAAGGGAAACGCUUGAAGUCAGACUUGCUUGCCGGAGCUUGCUUCGGUUUGCAGGGCCAGCAUCAGUUUUCCGGGGUGGAUAAUAACGGUUUGAAGGUAGCAGUCUCGGGCUGUGUUAUAGCUUUCCGUUGGAUACAUCCUGGGGGACUGAGGAACGCAGCGUGCUUUUUGCGAAAGAUUCGUCUUUUUCACGCUUAGGAUGCUGGUGGAAUGGCUUUAAACGACCCGUCUUGAAACACGGACCAAGGAGUCUAACAUGCUCGCGAGUAUUUGGGUGUCAAACCCGGAUGGCAAUGAAAGUGAAUGUAGGUGGGAACCGCAAGGUGCACCAUCGACCGAUCUGGAUUUUUUAAGAUGGAUUUGAGUAAGAGCGCGUAUGUUGGGACCCGAAAGAUGGUGAACUAUGCCUGAAUAGGGGAAGCCAGAGGAAACUCUGGUGGAGGCUCGUAGCGGUUCUGACGUGCAAAUCGAUCGUCAAAUUUGGGUAUAGGGGCGAAAGACUAAUCGAACC